AACGCUAGCUACAGGCUUAACACAUGCAAGUCGAGGGGCAGCAUUUCAGUUUGCUUGCAAACUGGAGAUGGCGACCGGCGCACGGGUGAGUAACACGUAUCCAACCUGCCGAUAACUCGGGGAUAGCCUUUCGAAAGAAAGAUUAAUACCCGAUGGUAUAAUCAGACCGCAUGGUCUUGUUAUUAAAGAAUUUCGGUUAUCGAUGGGGAUGCGUUCCAUUAGGCAGUUGGUGAGGUAACGGCUCACCAAACCUUCGAUGGAUAGGGGUUCUGAGAGGAAGGUCCCCCACAUUGGAACUGAGACACGGUCCAAACUCCUACGGGAGGCAGCAGUGAGGAAUAUUGGUCAAUGGGCGCAGGCCUGAACCAGCCAAGUAGCGUGAAGGAUGACUGCCCUAUGGGUUGUAAACUUCUUUUAUAUGGGAAUAAAGUUUUCCACGUGUGGAAUUUUGUAUGUACCAUAUGAAUAAGGAUCGGCUAACUCCGUGCCAGCAGCCGCGGUAAUACGGAGGAUCCGAGCGUUAUCCGGAUUUAUUGGGUUUAAAGGGAGCGUAGGUGGACAGUUAAGUCAGUUGUGAAAGUUUGCGGCUCAACCGUAAAAUUGCAGUUGAUACUGGCUGUCUUGAGUACAGUAGAGGUGGGCGGAAUUCGUGGUGUAGCGGUGAAAUGCUUAGAUAUCACGAAGAACUCCGAUUGCGAAGGCAGCUCACUGGACUGCAACUGACACUGAUGCUCGAAAGUGUGGGUAUCAAACAGGAUUAGAUACCCUGGUAGUCCACACAGUAAACGAUGAAUACUCGCUGUUUGCGAUAUACAGUAAGCGGCCAAGCGAAAGCAUUAAGUAUUCCACCUGGGGAGUACGCCGGCAACGGUGAAACUCAAAGGAAUUGACGGGGGCCCGCACAAGCGGAGGAACAUGUGGUUUAAUUCGAUGAUACGCGAGGAACCUUACCCGGGCUUAAAUUGCAUUUGAAUAUAUUGGAAACAGUAUAGCCGUAAGGCAAAUGUGAAGGUGCUGCAUGGUUGUCGUCAGCUCGUGCCGUGAGGUGUCGGCUUAAGUGCCAUAACGAGCGCAACCCUUAUCUUUAGUUACUAACAGGUCAUGCUGAGGACUCUAGAGAGACUGCCGUCGUAAGAUGUGAGGAAGGUGGGGAUGACGUCAAAUCAGCACGGCCCUUACGUCCGGGGCUACACACGUGUUACAAUGGGGGGUACAGAAGGCAGCUACCUGGUGACAGGAUGCUAAUCCCAAAAGCCUCUCUCAGUUCGGAUCGAAGUCUGCAACCCGACUUCGUGAAGCUGGAUUCGCUAGUAAUCGCGCAUCAGCCAUGGCGCGGUGAAUACGUUCCCGGGCCUUGUACACACCGCCCGUCAAGCCAUGAAAGCCGGGGGUACCUGAAGUACGUAACCGCAAGGAGCGUCCUAGGGUAAAACUGGAA
RNAcentral lists this ribosomal RNA (1438 nucleotides) under uncultured organism. RNAcentral describes it as "SSU rRNA". It matches the Rfam family "Bacterial small subunit ribosomal RNA". The record is from RNAcentral.